UGAAAGGGUCUUUAAAAGCAUCCUCCAGACAUCACUGAUGUACCUAAAGCUUGUGAAGAAUCCUCCGUCUGACUCUAUCUGACUCUACAGAGUUUACAAGAAAACAUGAAGGUGGCUAUCAUUGCACUGUGUCUCAUUGGACUGUGCUGUGCUCUUCCAGUUGAUGAUGAGCAUGAACGAGACAAGCGAUCAUCGAGCGGAGAGCGCUACCGAGGAGGAUCGUAUUAUCCUAUGUACUACCCCAACAACGGUUUCAACAACGACAACAACAACCUUCUGAACCUGCUGCUGCCCCUGCUACUGGCUCAACUCCCCGCUGCUGCUGCCCCGGCUCCGGCUCCGGCCCCGGCUGGAAAAUAAUUCACUCAGUGCAAUACAAUUACAUUAAAACAGAGCAUGCAUGCAAUUCAUAUGUUUUAAGCUAUUUCUAUUUCUGUGCAUUCUUUAAAUAAACCUAUGGAUCUGAAAAAAAAAG
Molecule: long non-coding RNA, 475 nt
Filed under: Astyanax mexicanus (Mexican tetra)
Lineage: Eukaryota; Metazoa; Chordata; Actinopteri; Characiformes; Acestrorhamphidae
Description: lncRNA (ENSAMXG00005015176.1)
Source: RNAcentral